ACUCCUGCGGGAGGCAGCAGUGGGGAAUAUUGGACAAUGGGCGCAAGCCUGAUCCAGCCAUGCCGCGUGAGUGAUGAAGGCCCUAGGGUUGUAAAGCUCUUUCACCGGUGAAGAUAAUGACGGUAACCGGAGAAGAAGCCCCGGCUAACUUCGUGCCAGCAGCCGCGGUAAUACGAAGGGGGCUAGCGUUGUUCGGAUUUACUGGGCGUAAAGCGCACGUAGGCGGACUAUUAAGUCAGGGGUGAAAUCCCGGGGCUCAACCCCGGAACUGCCUUUGAUACUGGUAGUCUUGAGUUCGAGAGAGGUGAGUGGAAUUCCGAGUGUAGAGGUGAAAUUCGUAGAUAUUCGGAGGAACACCAGUGGCGAAGGCGGCUCACUGGCUCGAUACUGACGCUGAGGUGCGAAAGCGUGGGGAGCAAACAGGAUUAGAAACCCCAGUAGUCCCAU
This 447-nucleotide ribosomal RNA is filed under the name uncultured organism. Its description in RNAcentral is "partial 16S ribosomal RNA". It matches the Rfam family "Bacterial small subunit ribosomal RNA", at positions 335 to 798 of the family's 1533-position model. The record is from RNAcentral.